GGGGAUGACGGGAUUCGACAAAGGGAAUUGGAGCUUUGAAUUGCGAGCCGGGCGCCAUCCCGUAAUCUGGCAAGACAAUAACUGCCAAAUCACGACUUACUCCAGCGCUCGCGUACGCGUAAGCUGGAAUAUCCUGUCCACAGCAUAAGAUGGGCGGGCAUCGGCGAGCCGUCGCCUUUGCGGCUCUUCCCGGUGUUAUACGAGAAGGCUGUGUUCUGUGAGGAAGCGCUCCAGUCCUUGCAGAACGAGAAUCUUGGAGCAUCUUUUCCUGUCCGGUUUUCGGACUACGCUCGUAGAUGAUUCAAGGCUUCCCCUUUGGACGGCGGUUCAACUCCGCCCAUCUCCACUA
This is a transfer-messenger RNA of 349 nucleotides. It matches the Rfam family "transfer-messenger RNA". Rfam says of the family: Bacterial tmRNA, also known as 10Sa RNA or SsrA, is named for its dual tRNA and mRNA-like properties. Its role is to liberate the mRNA from a stalled ribosome. To accomplish this part of the tmRNA is used as a reading frame that ends in a translation stop signal.